This 449-nucleotide ribosomal RNA is filed under the name uncultured bacterium. RNAcentral's name for it is "bacterial SSU rRNA". It matches the Rfam family "Bacterial small subunit ribosomal RNA", at positions 329 to 794 of the family's 1533-position model. The record is from RNAcentral.
GGCCAGACUCCUACGGGAGGCAGCAGUGGGGGAUAUUGCACAAUGGGGGGAACCCUGAUGCAGCGACGCCGCGUGGGUGAAGGAGUGCUUCGGCAUGUAAAGCCCUAUCGGCAGGGAAGAAGGAGGACGGUACCUGACUAAGAAGCCCCGGCUAACUACGUGCCAGCAGCCGCGGUAAUACGUAGGGGGCAAGCGUUAUCCGGAUGUACUGGGUGUAAAGGGGGCGCAGACGGCAGCGCAAGCCAGGAGUGAAAGCCCGGGGCCCAACCCCGGGACUGCUCUUGGAACUGCGCGGCUGGAGUGCAGGAGGGGCAGGCGGAAUUCCUGGUGUAGCGGUGAAAUGCGUAGAUAUCAGGAGGAACACCGGUGGCGAAGGCGGCCUGCUGGACUGCGACUGACGUUGAGGCCCGAAAGCGUGGGGAGCAAACAGGAUUAGAUACCCUGGUAGA